UAGCGGCGGACGGGUGAGUAACACGUAGGCAACCUGCCCGUAAGCUCGGGAUAACAUGGAGAAACUCAUGCUAAUACCGGAUAGGGUCUUCUCUCGCAUGAGAGGAGACGGAAAGGUGGCGCAAGCUACCACUUACGGAUGGGCCUGCGGCGCAUUAGCUAGUUGGUGGGGUAACGGCCUACCAAGGCGACGAUGCGUAGCCGACCUGAGAGGGUGACCGGCCACACUGGAACUGAGACACGGCCCAGACUCCUACGGGAGGCAGCAGUAGGGAAUUUUCCACAAUGGACGAAAGUCUGAUGGAGCAACGCCGCGUGAACGAUGAAGGUCUUCGGAUUGUAAAGUUCUGUUGUCAGAGACGAACAAGUACCGUUCGAACAGGGCGGUACCUUGACGGUACCUGACGAGAAAGCCACGGCUAACUACGUGCCAGCAGCCGCGGUAAUACGUAGGUGGCAAGCGUUGUCCGGAAUUAUUGGGCGUAAAGCGCGCGCAGGCGGCUAUGUAAGUCUGGUGUUAAAGCCCGGGGCUCAACCCCGGUUCGCAUCGGAAACUGUGUAGCUUGAGUGCAGAAGAGGAACGCGGUAUUCCACGUGUAGCGGUGAAAUGCGUAGAGAUGUGGAGGAACACCAGUGGCGAAGGCGGCUUUCUGGUCUG
Molecule: ribosomal RNA, 657 nt
Filed under: Brevibacillus sp. Pu17
Lineage: Bacteria; Bacillati; Bacillota; Bacilli; Caryophanales; Paenibacillaceae
Description: bacterial SSU rRNA
Rfam family: Bacterial small subunit ribosomal RNA
Source: RNAcentral